Molecule: ribosomal RNA, 459 nt
Filed under: uncultured bacterium
Lineage: Bacteria
Description: partial 16S ribosomal RNA
Rfam family: Bacterial small subunit ribosomal RNA
Source: RNAcentral
GAUGAACGCUGGCGGCGCGCCUAACACAUGCAAGUCGAACGGCACCCCUCCUCGGAGGGAAGCGAGUGGCGAACGGCUGAGUAACACGUGGAGAACCUGCCCCCUCCCCCGGGAUAGCCGCCCGAAAGGACGGGUAAUACCGUACACCCCGGGGUCCCGCAUGGCACCCCGGCUAAAGCCCCGACGGGAGGGGAUGGCUCCGCGGCCCAUCAGGUGGACGGCGGGGUGACGGCCCACCGUGCCGACAACGGGUGGCCGGGCUGGGAGACCGACCGGCCAGGUAGGGAGUGAGGCACGAGCCGGAUUCCGGCGGGAGGCGGCAGUAGGGAAUCUUGAGGGGUGGGGGGAAGACGGAGGAAGCGACGCCGCGUGCGGGACGGAGGCCGUCGGGACGUAAACCGCUUUCAGGAGGGAAGGGUCAAGACUGUACCUGCAGAAGAAGCCCCGGCUAACUACGUG